CUUGGUUACUGUGGACAAGUUAGGAACAGCUCAAAUGUGAAAGGGAACACAAAGCAAAUAGAGGACAGAGGAGACCUGCUAAGUGAGGCAGUGGGAACAGCUGAUCCCUGCAGAACCACCUUGGACCUGAUCCAGAUAAGGACGCCACUGUAAUCAGGCCUCAGAGCCCUUCACCACCUCUUGCAUGGUGACCUGCUGAUAUGAAGAUGCUGGAUGUCAUCACCGAAGUCUGUAAUGUGUGCCUUUCU
This is a long non-coding RNA of Melanotaenia boesemani (Boeseman's rainbowfish), 248 nucleotides long. RefSeq lists it as uncharacterized. The transcript is spliced from 3 exons. Lineage: Eukaryota; Metazoa; Chordata; Actinopteri; Atheriniformes; Melanotaeniidae. The record is from RefSeq and is a predicted model, not a curated record.